RNAcentral lists this long non-coding RNA (2288 nucleotides) under Homalodisca vitripennis (glassy-winged sharpshooter). Its description in RNAcentral is "uncharacterized LOC124353531". The record is from RNAcentral. Lineage: Eukaryota; Metazoa; Arthropoda; Insecta; Hemiptera; Cicadellidae.
AGGAAAAUUUCCCUAUCGAUUUCAAGAAACACGAGGUUGUGUGCUUUCUGUGUAAAUCGGCUCUCGGCUACUGAUCUAUCGUUAGAAACUUUUAACUGUAAAACAGAACAAUAUAUUUAAAAACUUUUUCAGUUUAUAUGUUGCAAUUCUCUAUUUUUUAUGUUUUGAUAAGAAAAUUUUCCUAUCGAUUUUAAGAAACACGGGGUUGUGUGCUUAUUCAAUGCAUAUUUGCUCUGGGCUCCUGGUCUGUCUUUAGAUACUUUCAACUAAUAAACAAAACUCUUUUUUCCAGUUUGGGUGUUGCAAUUUUUUGAAUGUUUUGAAGACAUUUUGGUUUUUUUUAUUUUGACGGCCAUAGCUGCGACUCCCGGCACCCCGCCCCCUAAGACGUGGAGGUGAAUGGCCACCGACGGGCCACCGACCACCUGGUGGGGUUAAUUCGGGCUCAUUGAGAUCUUCUGAUCGCCCAGAGUCCAUGGGGCGGCAAAUUGCGCUGCGCAUGCGCUCGGGCCGCACGGAAAAUAGCUCGGGGACGCGAUCUCUCCCUGACACGUCUUCUGGCUCAGUCGCCCUCGCCGCCCGACCCACUCUCUUUUUUGUGCUAUUUCUCGACCGGUACUUUCACACCUCGUGCGGUCGUGAUGCAGCCAAGUGAGCGGAGCUGGUACCCCGCCAAGUGCCCGCAGGUAGACAGAGCGCGGCAGACUUUCACUGACAUCUCACUCACCUUCGCUCUGCUACAUCACCUGUGUUCGCCCUCCAUUGUCUCUGGUGGUGAGGUGGUUGGGCGCAGAUUGUUCAUCUUGUUUUAGAUUCAUGAAUCACUCAUUAUGGUUCUUGGAAAGCGCUUGGCUUGUCAACUGAGGGAUCAUAUGACUGUACAACGCAGUUAGAAAACUGAGUACUGAAAUCAUACAUCGCAGUCAGCCAACUGAGUACUGGAAUGAUAUGACUGUGCACAUCGCUGUCAGCCAACUGAGUACUGGGAUCAUAUGACUGUGUAAAUCGUUUCAGCCAACUGAGUACUGAUAUCUUACAUCGCAGUCAGCCAACUGAGUACUGGAAUGAUAUGACUGUGCACUUCGCUGUCAGCCAACUGAGUACUGGGAACAUGUGACUGUGUACAUCGUUUCAGCCAACUGAGUAACUGAUAUCUUAUCGCAUAGCCAACUGAGUACUGAUAUCAUACAUCGCAGUCAGCCAACUGAGUACUGAUAUCAUACAUCGCAGUCAGCCAACUGAGUACUGUGAUCAUCAUACAUCGCAGUCAGCCAACUGAGUACUGAUAUCAUACAUCGCAGUCAGCCAACUGAGUACUGUGAUCAUAUGACUGUGUACAUCGUUUCAGCCAACUGAGUACUGAUAUCAUAUGACUGUGUACAUCGCUGUCAGCCAACUUAGUACUGGGAUCAUAUGACUGUGUACAUCGUUUCAGCCAACUGAGUACUGAUAUCAUACAUCGCAGUCAGCCAACUGAGUACUGUGAUCAUGUGACUGUGUACAUCGUUUCAGCCAACUGAGUACUGAUAUCAUACAUUGCAGUCAGCCAACUGAGUACUGGGAUCAUGUGACUGUGUACAUCAACCCCCUCCCCCAUCGAAAAAAAAACACUAGCGAUACAGAAGUCAUAUUAUAGUCACAUUCGUCGCCACAUAAUGAGUUAUGUGCUUAACCCUAUGUAUAAAGUAUUUCUAUGCCUGAGGAAGAGGGUAGAUUCCAAUCCUUGAAACGUAGUGUUCUUUUAACACAAAACGAUGCCAAAAUAUCCCAAAAUCCUGCUCCCUCUCCCCUUAUACUCUGGAAAUACUUUAAUGAAGGUUUACGUUGCUUAAGUCGUGAUUUUAGGUUUCUGCGUCUACACUAUGUGAAAACAUUAACACCGCCACUGCAAUCUCGAGAUACUUUGUUUAGCUGCGAAGAGCCAAGCCCAGUGAAAAUAUUUUGAAACUGGUUCAAUCUGAAACUGGAAUUAUAUCGAAGUCGGAAUCUAUGUUUCAUCAAAUACCCUACUAUUGUAUAAGAAUAAUACGAGAACCCCUAACAUAUCAAGAAAAGAACUAACUUCAGCAAAAAAGAUAGUAAAGCUGUCGAAAACCUGUUAGACUGUGAAAAGAAGUUAUAGCCUAUUGGGCGAAAAACUGAAGAAACAUUGGUAGGCCUAGUAGGACAUUUUUGGUUGUUUUCUGAGAUGUACUUAGCUCGGCUGUGUCAUUUGGGAUUUCACUAAAGACUUCUAGUCAAACCUGUGUAUUUCCAGAAUGUAUUAAGAAAUAUGCACUAAACCCAGA